This 377-nucleotide ribosomal RNA is filed under the name uncultured organism. Its description in RNAcentral is "bacterial SSU rRNA". It matches the Rfam family "Bacterial small subunit ribosomal RNA", at positions 47 to 433 of the family's 1533-position model. The record is from RNAcentral.
CUUUACACAUGCAAGUCGAACGGUAACAGGUUAAGCUGACGAGUGGCGAACGGGUGAGUAAUGCAUCGGAACGUGCCCGAUGGUGGGGGAUAACACUUCGAAAGAGGUGCUAAUACCGCAUACGAUCUGAGGAUGAAAGCGGGGGACCGUAAGGCCUCGCGCGAUCGGAGCGGCCGAUGUCAGAUUAGGUAGUUGGUGGGGUAAAGGCUCACCAAGCCGACGAUCUGUAGCUGGUCUGAGAGGACGACCAGCCACACUGGAAAUGAGACACGGCCCAGACUCCUACGGGAGGCAGCAGUGGGGAAUUUUGGACAAUGGGCGCAAGCCUGAUCCAGCCAUGCCGCGUGCAGGAAGAAGGCCUUCGGGUUGUAAACUGC